Molecule: long non-coding RNA, 289 nt
Filed under: Mytilus galloprovincialis (Mediterranean mussel)
Lineage: Eukaryota; Metazoa; Mollusca; Bivalvia; Mytilida; Mytilidae
Source: RNAcentral
GCUUGUUUAUGAUCAAAAGCUAGUAUCUAGAAGGAAAUUUUGUUAAUAUUUUGUACCUGUGUAUCUGUAUUUUACUUAUAAAUGGACUUAGUUUUUCUUCCAGUUAACAUUACAUCCAGUCUGCAGUUAAAGUUUUUAAAACAUUUAUUAGAUUCAUAAACUAUCCAGGAUUUUUACCAAACUUGGACAGAAGCUUCCUACAAUCCAAACAUGGUAUCAAGCGGAAUAUUUUUAUUGAUUUUUUCCCUCAUUUUUGUUGAUCCUGCAAUUUACAGCAAAAGUAGGUGAG